RNAcentral lists this ribosomal RNA (492 nucleotides) under uncultured bacterium. Its description in RNAcentral is "partial 16S ribosomal RNA". It matches the Rfam family "Bacterial small subunit ribosomal RNA", at positions 29 to 507 of the family's 1533-position model. The record is from RNAcentral.
AUUGAACGCUGGCGGCAUGCUUUACACAUGCAAGUCGAACGGUAACAGGCCUUCGGGUGCUGACGAGUGGCGAACGGGUGAGUAAUGCAUCGGAACGUACCCAGAGGUGGGGGAUAACGCAGCGAAAGCUGUGCUAAUACCGCAUGUGAUCUGAGGAUGAAAGCGGGGGACCGAGCAGCAAUGUGUGGCCUCGCGCCUUUGGAGCGGCCGAUGUCGGAUUAGCUAGUUGGUGGGGUAAAGGCCUACCAAGGCGACGAUCCGUAGCUGGUCUGAGAGGACGACCAGCCACACUGGGACUGAGACACGGCCCAGACUCCUACGGGAGGCAGCAGUGGGGAAUUUUGGACAAUGGGCGCAAGCCUGAUCCAGCAAUGCCGCGUGCGGGAAGAAGGCCUUCGGGUUGUAAACCGCUUUUGGCAGGAACGAAACGGUGUCCGCUAAUACCGGGCGCUAAUGACGGUACCUGCAGAAUAAGCACCGGCUAACUACGUG